This 447-nucleotide ribosomal RNA is filed under the name uncultured bacterium. RNAcentral describes it as "partial 16S ribosomal RNA". It matches the Rfam family "Bacterial small subunit ribosomal RNA", at positions 29 to 523 of the family's 1533-position model. The record is from RNAcentral.
AACGAACGCUGGCGGCAGGCUUAACACAUGCAAGUCGAACGCCCCGCAAGGGGAGUGGCAGACGGGUGAGUAACGCGUGGGAAUCUACCCAGAUCUACGGAACAACAGAGGGAAACUUCUGCUAAUACCGUAUACGCCCUACGGGGGAAAGAUUUAUCGGAUUUGGAUGAGCCCGCGUAAGAUUAGCUAGUUGGUGGGGUAAUGGCCUACCAAGGCGACGAUCUUUAGCUGGUCUGAGAGGAUGAUCAGCCACACUGGGACUGAGACACGGCCCAGACUCCUACGGGAGGCAGCAGUGGGGAAUAUUGGACAAUGGGCGCAAGCCUGAUCCAGCCAUGCCGCGUGAGUGAUGAAGGCCUUAGGGCUGUAAAGCUCUUUCACCGAUGAAGAUAAUGACGGUAGUCGGAGAAGAAGCCCCGGCUAACUUCGUGCCAGCAGCCGCCGUAA